Molecule: ribosomal RNA, 492 nt
Filed under: uncultured bacterium
Lineage: Bacteria
Description: partial 16S ribosomal RNA
Rfam family: Bacterial small subunit ribosomal RNA
Source: RNAcentral
AGUGAACGCUGGCGGUAGGCCUAACACAUGCAAGUCGAACGGCAGCACAGUAAGAGCUUGCUCUUACGGGUGGCGAGUGGCGGACGUGUGAGGAAUACAUCGGAAUCUACUUUUUCGUGGGGGAUAACGUAGGGAAACUUACGCUAAUACCGCAUACGACCUACGGGUGAAAGCAGGGGAUCUUCGGACCUUGCGCGAUUGAAUGAGCCGAUGUCGGAUUAGCUAGUUGGCGGGGUAAAGGCCCACCAAGGCGACGAUCCGUAGCUGGUCUGGGAGGAUGAUCAGCCACACUGGAACUGAGACACGGUCCAGACUCCUACGGGAGGCAGCAGUGGGGAAUAUUGGACAAUGGGCGCAAGCCUGAUCCAGCCAUACCGCGUGGGUGAAGAAGGCCUUCGGGUUGUAAAGCCCUUUUGUUGGGAAAGAAAAGCAGCAGGUUAAUACCCCGCUGUUCUGACGGUACCCAAAGAAUAAGCACCGGCUAACUUCGUG